ACGCAGCGAAAAGCGAUAAGUAAUGUGAAUUGCAGAAAUUCAGUGAAUCAUCGAAUCUUUGAACGCACAUUGCGCCCAUUAGUAUUCUAGUGGGCAUGCCUGUUCGAGCGUCAUUU
This 116-nucleotide ribosomal RNA is filed under the name uncultured fungus. Its description in RNAcentral is "partial 5.8S ribosomal RNA". It matches the Rfam family "5.8S ribosomal RNA", at positions 43 to 154 of the family's 154-position model. From Rfam's summary of the family: 5.8S ribosomal RNA (5.8S rRNA) is a component of the large subunit of the eukaryotic ribosome. It is transcribed by RNA polymerase I as part of the 45S precursor that also contains 18S and 28S rRNA. The record is from RNAcentral. Lineage: Eukaryota; Fungi.